UGCACUUCUGCAAUGGUUCAAGAGUUUAGAGAGCACCUUCAGACAUGUUCAAUGUCCAAACGAGCGAAAGAUGUCACAGGUAGAAUUCGCAUCUAGCGUCUUUGAGAAACGAGCUUUGACAUGGUGGAAUGGUGUGAUGAGAGAUAGGGGUGCCGAUGUGGCACUGGCUUAAACAUGGCAAGAGCUUCGAGCUCUGAUGAUGAAUGAAUUAUGUCCUCGUCACGAGAUCAGGGCCUUGGAAACGGAGUUCGACGAUCUUAUGCAAGUUAGCGGUGAGCAUCGAGCCUACACAGAUCGUUAUGAGGAGUUAAGUUUGUUAUGCCCGAAUAUGGUUACGCCUUUGGAUAAGGCAAUCGAAAAGUACAUUGAUGGCCUCCCUGACUCAAUACAAGACAUUGUGACUGGUAGCAACCCUACUACAGUUAGACAGGCCAUUGAGCUAUCUGCAACCUUGACUGAAUCAAAGAUCAGGAAAG
This 476-nucleotide long non-coding RNA is filed under the name Helianthus annuus (common sunflower). RNAcentral's name for it is "hypothetical non coding rna". The record is from RNAcentral. Lineage: Eukaryota; Viridiplantae; Streptophyta; Magnoliopsida; Asterales; Asteraceae.